CUUGUGAUUAACAGUGAUGCAACAAGAGUUAUUAAAAGGUAGUUAGCAAAGCAGAGCAGGCAAGCUGUUCUAAACUUAGUGUAACCUGAAGCAAGCAAUGAAGUAUCCUCUGGUUCCUUUGGUGAAUGAUCUGACCUUUCCUCUUCUUUUCUUCUGGUUUUGUUUGCCAUUUGUAAUGCUGUUGAUCAUACUGAUUAUCUGGCUACAGCUUCUACUUAAUGAAGCACAGAUGACCAGUGCAGAAGAAAUAACAAAACAACCUUCUGAUGACCCUGAUUCUGACUCUAAAUUUGAGGAUGAACCAACAGAGGAAGAAAAACAGUCCAGGACAAAAAUACAAGAGGAGAUGGAAUCCAAUGGAUCUAUGGGAAAACUAAGGCCCAAGCCAGUUUAUCUGCGUCCAAAUCCAAAAAGUCAAAACCAAAGUCUUUUUGCUGUAAUCUCAGACAGCUGGUUGCGGAGCCAGAAGAUAAAAUACUCCCAUGCUGAGCAGAGUGAUUUCUUUAACAUCACGAUGACGGGGCUCAGAAGGGAAAGCUGGUCUGUGCUUCCACUGGCACUAUUCACAGUCCUGUCUGUUCACUCAUUUACAUUGCUGGGAGUUUUGAACUGCAGCAGCUGAGCUGUUGUGCACCAUUCUUUCUUCUCUCACCUGGAACUUUGCCUGCCAGUUGCUCCAGAUCUCUAAUGUCCUGAGGAUUCAACUGCUGCUAUCCUGUCUGAUUAUCUACAUGCCUCAGCUGUUUGUCUUGCUGAGUGAAAAAGUUGUGAAAAUCCUGGGCUCCCUGAGGCUUGAAGAGCAGAGGUCUGUUGGCUUCAGUCUUGGGGAGGAAACUGGAAAAGAGUGGUGAAGCUCAGAGAACCACCUCACGGUGAAAUAAAGCAGGUAGCCCCACAACCAUCAGCAGCAAUACUGCUCAGCAUUGGUGAGAGCUACUGCAGCAUGGCAGAGACGUUAAUUCUCUGAAAAGGAAACUUUCUCAAGCCUAAGUCAAUGUGCAGUCGGGUCACAGCAGCUACUUUCAGAGUGAACUGUAUCGACUGGCUAGGUAUUAUUUAGAUAACAGCAGCCAGCCUCUUGUCUGGCACUUGGGUACCACCUACUCUGCUCCCCUCCCACUUUACAGAGGGAUGAGUUUCUUUUUUAUAAGGAUCAAGCACCACACUGGCACCAGUGAUACUCUCUGUUCACCACUACUGCUCUGAUUUCAAACAAAUAAGAUCAAGGCAAUAGCUCUCAGUAAUGCUUCUUACUGGAGCUUAAAUGCAGUAUAGCCUGGUGAUUAUUUUGCCCAUACUGCAACUAGCACUCUUCUGAUCUCCCACUUGUCAGUUGUCAGUGUAGGAAACAAUCCCACCUCCCAUUAACAAGCAAUAAUUAACCCCUCAGCAGAUCUUGAGUAUACAUUUCCUUAAUUUGUGUUCAGGAUGCGCUUUUUCAGCACAGCUGCCAGGCUGAUACAAGGUUAGAUUAUGGUCCAAAGUGGCCAGCUGGUGAGACUGGGAUGAGACAUAAUUUUGUGGCCUAAGGGUUUAUCCGAUUGUCAGGCUAUGAGCAGAACAGCUGUUUGCUCCUAGUGUUGAUGCACACAUUCAACAAACUCCUUUUUAAGAGGACCUGAAUUAGGAAGUCCCAUCCCAAAGAGCACAUUGCUGCUUGUGGAAAAGGUUUGUCUCUGCUCCUCGUGGGAAGUAGCUGUGUCUUGUACGUGCAUGCUGCGGAACAUUUGCCACCAGCCUUCACUAAUUAUGAACCAUGCCUUGUUUAUGUUGUUUUUCCUCCUCAACCCCUGAACUCCACAUGUCUAAAUAUUUGUCCAGAGCAGUAUGCUCUUAAAUAAAACCUGUUUGUCCACGCC
This is an RNA transcript of Tyto alba (common barn owl), 1859 nucleotides long. RefSeq lists it as uncharacterized. Lineage: Eukaryota; Metazoa; Chordata; Aves; Strigiformes; Tytonidae. The transcript has 4 exons. The record is from RefSeq and is a predicted model, not a curated record.